RNAcentral lists this ribosomal RNA (425 nucleotides) under uncultured bacterium. RNAcentral's name for it is "bacterial SSU rRNA". It matches the Rfam family "Bacterial small subunit ribosomal RNA", at positions 356 to 773 of the family's 1533-position model. The record is from RNAcentral.
GGGGAAUUUUGGACAAUGGGCGCAAGCCUGAUCCAGCCAUGCCGCGUGAGUGAAGAAGGCCUUCGGGUUGUAAAGCUCUUUCGGUGAAGACGAAACGGUUAGCGUUAAUAGCGCUGACUAAUGACGGUACUCACAGAAGAAGCACCGGCUAACUACGUGCCAGCAGCCGCGGUAAUACGUAGGGUGCAGGCGUUAAUCGGAAUUACUGGGCGUAAAGCGUGCGCAGGCGGUUUGCUAAGACAGGUGUGAAAUCCCCGGGCUUAACCUGGGAAUUGCGCUUGUAACUGGCAGGCUAGAGUGUGGCAGAGGGGGGUGGAAUUCCACGUGUAGCAGUGAAAUGCGUAGAUAUGUGGAGGAACACCGAUGGCGAAGGCAGCCCCCUGGGUUAACACUGACGCUCAGGCACGAAAGCGUGGGGAGCAAAC